UAUCCUACGGGAGGCAGCAGUGAGGAAUAUGGACAAUGGGUUAGAGCCUGAUCCAGCCAUCCCGCGUGAAGGACGACGGCCCUAUGGGUGUAAAUUCUUUGUACAGGGAUAAACCUACCAUCGUGAGGGUAGAGAAGGUACGUAAGAAAAGCACGGCAAUUUCG
Molecule: ribosomal RNA, 164 nt
Filed under: uncultured bacterium
Lineage: Bacteria
Description: partial 16S ribosomal RNA
Rfam family: Bacterial small subunit ribosomal RNA
Source: RNAcentral